GCGGGGCGGAGGGAGCCGGGAAGCGUCGAGCGCGCCUGGAGCGCAGCUGCGGGCCUGGGGGCGCAGGAGCCGCAGAGCCUUCCCGAGAACGGGGCUGCCGGAGCGGGCGGCCGAGACAAAGGCGACGAAAUGAAUGCCGAAUGCUUACGAAGAGAUAAAGGUUAUUUGGUACAUAUUGGUGGUCUCUGUCCUUCAGUAUCUGAGGUAUGCCAAGAUUUCUUUUUCGAACUUCAUUUUUAAGUUUGUUAAUUGUUCAUAUUAUGAUCAUUUGUUGUGUUUCUACUUUUCACAAAGUUAUUUCUCUUUUUUUAUGCUGAUUGAAGGUCUCAUUUCCAGAAAUACCAAGUUUCUGAAAUUUCAAUUUAUGAUUCUUCUACUAAUUACAGGUGUGUUUCCCAAAUUCA
Long non-coding RNA from Lemur catta (Ring-tailed lemur), 404 nucleotides. RefSeq lists it as uncharacterized. The transcript has 2 exons. The record is from RefSeq and is a predicted model, not a curated record. Lineage: Eukaryota; Metazoa; Chordata; Mammalia; Primates; Lemuridae.